CACGUAGGGCGCAAGCGUUGUCCGGAAUUAUUGGGCGGAAAGAGCUCGUAGGCGGUCUGUUACGUCUGCUGUGAAAACCCGGGGCUUAACCCUGGGCUUGCAGUGGAUACGGGCAGACUAGAGGCAGGUAGGGGAGAAUGGAAUUCCCGGUGUAGCGGUGAAAUGCGCAGAUAUCGGGAGGAACACCGGUGGCGAAGGCGGUUCUCUGGGCCUGACCUGACGCUGAGGAGCGAAAGCGUGGGGAGCGAACAGG
Molecule: ribosomal RNA, 253 nt
Filed under: uncultured bacterium
Lineage: Bacteria
Description: partial 16S ribosomal RNA
Rfam family: Bacterial small subunit ribosomal RNA
Source: RNAcentral